UUCUUUGUAGUGACCGCAGCACUAAUGCUGACCAAAAACCAUCAUGGGCAGUGUGUGUUUAACUGUUAGUAAGAAAUAGAUGGGAGUUAGUGCAGCGGUUGCACCAGGACCUUUAAGCUGUGGGAGAAUAAUCUUGUGUCGAACUGGGCUGGUGGAAGGUGUUGAUGAUGUAAACAGGAGGCUCUCUCAAAGGUCGCCCGAGGCAUGCUAAUAAGCUGCCUGUCCUGCAGGGAUAAAAAGGGCUGAGGAGCUUCAGUCAGUGGGAAAACAUCACCUUUACUGUGGCCAGGAGAAAAGAAGCUGGACAUAAUGCUCUUCUGGCACUCUCAACCAGAAACAUAUGAGCAAAGGACACAGCCCGGGUCUAUACGUGAAGCACUUGCACCCUUCAUGAAGCAUGAGACCAAGGGGCUGUCUGCUGGGAACACGACCCCCUUGGCCCCCUUUCAGUAUGUUCUGUGUGCAGCCACGUCCCCUGCAGCCAAACUUCAAGAUGAAAUGCUCACCUACCUAAACCAAGGUCAGUCCUAUGAAAUCCGUUUGCUCAACAGAAAACUAGCGGCGUAUUCACACAUAAGCAGCAAAUGUGUAAAGAGCAUUGUGCGUGUGGUGUUUCACGAUCGGCGUCUUCAGUAUACUGAGCGCACGCAGCUGGAGGGAUGGAGGUGGAACCGGCCAGGAGACAGAAUUCUUGAUAUCAAUAUUCCUCUGUCAGUGGGGAUAAUAGAGCCUCGUGCACACCCACUGCAGCUCAACACCAUUGAGUUUCUCUGGAAUCCUGUGAAAAACGCCUCAGUAUUCAUUCAGGUAAACUGCAUCAGCACGGAGUUUACACUCAGGAAACAUGGCGGGGAGAAAGGAGUCCCGUUCCGUAUUCAGGUGGAUACUUUCACACAGAAUGAACAUGGAGAAUACCUGGAGCAUGUGCACUCCUGCAGCUGCCAAAUCAAAGUCUUCAAGCCAAAGGGAGCAGAUCGCAAACUGAAGACGGACAGAAAGAAGAUUGAGAAGAAGAGUCUUGUAGACAGGGAAAAAUAUCAGCCAUCCUAUGAAACCACUAUACUUACUGAGUACUCUCCCUGGCCUGAUUGCCCAUCCAUCAACGACAUGAGCAAUGCUCUGUCAGCCGUAUGUCAUAGCUCGACCACUUCAUACGGCUUCACAGACACAUAUUGCUCUCCAAACCAGCAGGGGGUGCUACUCCUGCCCAGCUGCUCUGAUCCGCUUCUGCCAUCUUUUUAUCCUCAGGAAACACAGGAGUGGCUCCACAGGAACAGAUUUGCUCCAUUCUGUAGGCUCUUCUCCAGAUUCUCAGGUGCUGAUUUGCUGAGGAUGAGUAGAGAUGACUUCAUUCAGAUUUGUGGUCCUGCGGAUGGGAUCCGCCUGUUUAACAACAUCAAAGGAAGGUGUAUACAGCCACGUCUCACCAUGUAUGUGACCCUACAGAAGAACAAGAGUCAGCCACACAAUAAGCUAGGUGGUGAUGAGGGUAAAGAAAAAAGUCAAGUGAAGUUAAUUAUUCUAGGAAUUAGCCAAAAAUGACCUCAGAUGACAUCACUGUUCAUGUUCUGUUCUGAUUUGUCCUAAGUGUACCAUGCUCUCCACCUGGAUGACUUAACUCUACUUGAGCUUACUGAGAAAAUAGCCAACUUAUACAGUGUUCCUGCAAGACAAAUCUGCCAUGUCUACAAGCAAGGGCCAACAGGGAUACAUAUCCUUGUUUCAGAUGAGCACUACCAUACUCUGCUCACCUUUUUCAGAUGGUGCAGAAUUUCACUGAGGAGACCAGCUUCAUAAUCAGCACUCUAAAAGUGAUGAAAGAUGAAAGGAACGAGGGAUACCAUGUAGUAUUGAAGUGAAGUGUGAAGUUAACAGCUACAGGAGCAUCUCAGGUUUACAGUUGGGAUAUUUGAAAUUUCUGUUAUUUUAAUGUCUGAAACUUUAUACAAUGUACAUCUAUAGAUGUAAUUGUGGAUUACAGUCACAUAGAUUCAAUGGGGGUAGACCUCUGGAUCAAGUGUAAAAUUGCACAUUGAAAAUACCUUAUCACCUGUAACCCUCAGUAAUGACAUGAUCUGUUUCAUGCAGGAGACUCAAUAAAAUUUAAUCACAAUUCUAUGUUGAGGCAUUUUGUAUAAUGAGCAGAAAACAGCUGACAAAAGCUGCUAUAGUAUAUCCGUCUCUGCAGACCCUUAAUAAGAUCUAGAGUCUUCACCUGUUUGCACUGGUCAGACUAAAGCGAAAUAAGAUUUUUUUUCAUUUAUAGCAUUUGUUUGUUUGAAACAACUUCAUGUUUUUACAUAUUAAGUCAUUUUAAUAGGGGUGUAAUUAUGCACAAAAUUAUUAUUUACCAUAGUGUCUUUCUUUUGUUUUUGUUUACAUAAAUAAUGUGUUCCUGUAUAUAUCUUAUACUUGCAUGUGUGUGCAUUAGAGGGGUAACAAUGCACAUGUUUUCAGUUCCUAUAUGAUUUUAAUGAUGUAAAGAUUUGCACUUCAGUGUUCAUUACCACAUUUAUCAUUUGCCAUUUAGCAAGCAAGCAAGCAAAGUUUAUUUAUAUAGCACUUCUUACAACAGGUCACAAAGCAGCUUUACAGAAAAAAAAAAUCAGCAUUACAGAAAGAAAAUCCGGGCCCAAGCCCCCAUGAGCAAGCCAGUCGCAUCAUUUACCUCAUUUACCACAUUGGACAUUUUGCACUGUAGCGUAACAUGCUGUCUUCAUGAGAGAGGAUCUGUUCAGAGAUGUAUUUUCUGUAUUUGCUUUUCAACUAUUAUCCAGAAAAUAUGCAUUAUACACUAAAUAAAUAUGUAAUUAUAAAACCAA
Molecule: RNA transcript, 2822 nt
Organism: Pygocentrus nattereri (red-bellied piranha)
Lineage: Eukaryota; Metazoa; Chordata; Actinopteri; Characiformes; Serrasalmidae
Gene: tfcp2l1
Gene name: transcription factor CP2-like 1
Exons: 14
Source: RefSeq, a predicted model, not a curated record